This 497-nucleotide ribosomal RNA is filed under the name uncultured bacterium. RNAcentral describes it as "partial 16S ribosomal RNA". It matches the Rfam family "Bacterial small subunit ribosomal RNA", at positions 28 to 507 of the family's 1533-position model. The record is from RNAcentral.
GAUGAACGCUGGCGGCGUGCCUAAUACAUGCAAGUCGAGCGAACAGAUGAGGAGCUUGCUCCUCUGACGUUAGCGGCGGACGGGUGAGUAACACGUGGAUAACCUACCUAUAAGACUGGGAUAACUUCGGGAAACCGGAGCUAAUACCGGAUAAUAUAUUGAACCGCAUGGUUCAAUAGUGAAAGACGGUUUUGCUGUCACUUAUAGAUGGAUCCGCGCCGCAUUAGCUAGUUGGUAAGGUAACGGCUUACCAAGGCAACGAUGCGUAGCCGACCUGAGAGGGUGAUCGGCCACACUGGAACUGAGACACGGUCCAGACUCCUACGGGAGGCAGCAGUAGGGAAUCUUCCGCAAUGGGCGAAAGCUUGACGGAGCAACGCCGCGUGAGUGAUGAAGGUCUUCGGAUCGUAAAACUCUGUUAUUAGGGAAGAACAAAUGUGUAAGUAACUAUGCACGUCUUGACAGUACCUAAUCAGAAAGCCACGGCUAACUACGUG